Molecule: unclassified non-coding RNA, 180 nt
Organism: Cyanistes caeruleus (blue tit)
Lineage: Eukaryota; Metazoa; Chordata; Aves; Passeriformes; Paridae
Source: Ensembl
UUGACACCACUGGAGGCUGAAGCCCUCUAUUUACCCACAGAGCAGAUACAGCAUGGGCGGCAGCUGUGCAAGUUCCCCCACGCUGCCCCCACCCAUGUGCCUCAUCUCUGUCCUGGAGGGACCACCUCUAGAGGUGAGAGGAUAGUUCAGUCUCCAUGACCCAUCCAACCCCUGGCCUUU